ACCCUCUCUAGACUCAUCUCCCUCAAAAUUCCCACCACCCCACCACCGUAUCACCGGCCACCCACUACCACCGGCGUUCUUCAAGUAGGCGACGCCGACCAGUUAAACCACCGGAGCAGCCACCAGUCGCCGCCGACUGAACAAUGAGCUAGGAAAACUGGAACCAUCCUAUGGGAAGGGGUGAGCAGUAACUGGUGAACAGGGUGAAAAGAGUGAGAAGGAAAAUGCGAUCUUUGAGUGCGGAAGGGUGAGGAGGACAUUGGGUAGCUUUUGGUAUCUGUUAUAAGUUGGAUUUUCUUUCAGCUGCAUUAACCCAAGUAAAAUGGAUCAUUUUUAUAGAUAAAAAGUUGAAUCUUUAUAAUCCAAAUGUGCCACUGCACACAUAUCUCUCUCCGUGUGUGUGUCUGUUCGUGUGCACGUGCAUUUUCCUUUUCAGUUCAAGGUUCAUAAUGUACUAGAGUGAAUUGAAUUUGUUUGUAUAUUCGUCUUUGCUAUUCCUUUUCUUCCGCACUUUGUUUCUUUCUUUUGUAAUUAGCUUGUAAAUUUUGGUUGAACGUGUUGAGAUUUUGACGGACUAAAUUUGCAGGAAAACAGCUCUAAUGCUGGCAUUAUGCAAACUCUUAAGGGAAAAAUACAGUCUUGCUCGAAUCACUUAGAAGAUAGGAUAUCUUUAGGGAUUCCUAUUAGUAAAAGGGUUAAAAAUGAUCAAUGGAUUCAGACAAGUAGUUGUUCUUUAUUCAUGACUUAUGUUUAACCCAUAGCUUUGUCAAAUUGCCUAUGUUGGUCAAGAUAAAGGAUGAUAGUCAAUAUUUACCUGAACUUGUGAAUACUGUCAUAACCAAAAUAAUAUAUUUGUUCAAAAAUGCUAGAAAUCAUUUCUGGUAUGGCUGUUUGGUAUAGUCUUGAGUCUGUAAUAAUGAAAGGAUGCGGGAAGUAACUGAUUCGUUCUCUAUUGGGGUUCUGUGCGCAUUAAGUGUAAUGAUUUAGGAUUAUAUUCAACUGAUAAGGGAGAAAUUACAAUAUAGCAAUUCUCAACUUAGGGAAAACAUAGGAAAUGAUAGAUAAAAAAAGAGAAAACAGAAAAGGGAGACUCCAGAGUGCUAAAACUUUAACUAAGAAAAAUAAGAUGCAAGUUCUUUCAUGCCCCAUUCUAGAGUUCCUCUGUCGUUUAUAUCCAUUACCCACAACAACAGAGAAUUUGGGUGAAGACUCUACUGUGAGUUUGAGAGCCUUAGCAACACGAGGGUGUAUAAAAUUAUCGGAGCUGCCCCCAUCAAUUAGAAUCUGAGCCGACAAGCCCUUAAUAUUACAUGUAAAAUGAAGAGUAGUGGGGUGAGAACCACCGUUAAGGGCUUGGGAACUGAUGGCGAGGAAAGAUGGUUUCUCGGAGGAAGCGGAUAAAUUGGUGUCCGGAGGAGGUCAAUCAAUAUCAAACAAUUGAUAUUUGAUAUUUUUUGCUCUCGUAAUCAAUGCAUACUUAGCUAAGAUGAGGGGUGAGGUAGUACCUUAAGAUGAAGUCUUCAAGAUUACUCACAUGAGGAAGACGAAGAACACCGAUGGUACAAUGGAUUGAGCCAAGGGCUCAGCGAACCAAUAUCGAGUUUCAACAACACUUCGGGAAAUAUUGUGCCAGUCAGCCAACCGGCGCUCCGAUGACCCAAGAGAUAAUUGAGCACCAGUGGAUGGAGAAAGUUGCUCCCCCGACAAGGUAUGAGGCAGUUUAUGGGAUACGUAAUCGAGCCUGUUGUCAGUUCUCGUUGUUCCUUCAAGGCAUAAGUGCUACUUCUGAGGGGGCAAUGGAUCCUAAGGAGUACCAAGAAAUUAGGCAGCAAGUUGCUCAAUUAACAAGCACACUUAAUGCCUCGGAGGCAAGGAUGUUGGGUAUGCAGGCCUAAAUAGACAGCUUACUCAAUUCGGGGGCGUUUUUUCGGGGAUACUCGUAGGUCACAGACCACCCACCUCCCGACCUUCCCAAUGUAGACGACGUAGGUCACAGGCCAACAUAGAUCAUGGUCUUGUCGAUGAGGAUAGUGAGGAGGAUUCAGAUCACGUCUCUAACACCCAACGUUGACUUUUUUGAAUUGUAUACUUUUGGAUUUUA
Long non-coding RNA from Lycium barbarum (goji berry), 2101 nucleotides. RefSeq lists it as uncharacterized. The transcript has 4 exons. The record is from RefSeq and is a predicted model, not a curated record. Lineage: Eukaryota; Viridiplantae; Streptophyta; Magnoliopsida; Solanales; Solanaceae.